This 374-nucleotide ribosomal RNA is filed under the name uncultured organism. RNAcentral's name for it is "partial 16S ribosomal RNA". It matches the Rfam family "Bacterial small subunit ribosomal RNA", at positions 527 to 896 of the family's 1533-position model. The record is from RNAcentral.
GUAGGUGGCAAGCGUUGUCCGGAAUUAUUGGGGCGUAAAGCGCGCGCAGGCGGUUCCUUAAGUCUGAUGUGAAAGCCCACGGGCUCAACCGUGGAGGGUCAUUGGAAACUGGAGAACUUGAGUACAGAAGAGGAAAGCGGAAUUCCACGUGUAGCGGUGAAAUGCGUAGAGAUGUGGAGGAACACCAGUGGCGAAGGCGGCUUUCUGGUCUGUAACUGACGCUGAGGCGCGAAAGCGUGGGGAGCAAACAGGAUUAGAUACCCUGGUAGUCCACGCCGUAAACGAUGAGUGCUAAGUGUUAGGGGGUUUCCGCCCCUUAGUGCUGCAGCUAACGCAUUAAGCACUCCGCCUGGGGAGUACGGCCGCAAAGGCUG